GAAAGCCAAUAAUCGUGCGGAUUAUCAAACCAGGACUAUAAAACCGUGUUGCUAGUUUACCUAUCAGUGGUUUACUUUCUAGCGUCAAGUCCAUCGGAGAGAACAUUUUCGUUCGUCUUAGCGCCCUUUUGUUUUUGGAAUAUUUAUGAACCCAUUUGCAAGGGCCGGUAGAACGUACAGUC
This 182-nucleotide small nucleolar RNA is filed under the name Lachancea fermentati. RNAcentral describes it as "Small nucleolar RNA snR35". It matches the Rfam family "Small nucleolar RNA snR35". Lineage: Eukaryota; Fungi; Ascomycota; Saccharomycetes; Saccharomycetales; Saccharomycetaceae. The record is from Rfam by way of RNAcentral.